RNAcentral lists this ribosomal RNA (895 nucleotides) under uncultured archaeon. Its description in RNAcentral is "bacterial SSU rRNA". It matches the Rfam family "Archaeal small subunit ribosomal RNA", at positions 1 to 872 of the family's 1478-position model. The record is from RNAcentral.
UUCCGGUUGAUCCCGCCGGACCCGACUGCUAUCGGAAUGGGACUAAGCCAUGCGAGUCGUAUGUCCCUGGACUGCCAGGGGCAUGGCGAACGGCUCAGUAACACGUGGCCAACCUACCCUCAAGAUGCGGAUAACCCCGGGAAACUGGGACUAAUCCGCAAUAGGUCCAGAUUUCUGGAAUUGAAUCUGGACCGAAAGGGUAAUAUGAGCAUGUUUCAUGUUACCGCUUGAGGAUGGGGCUACGGCCGAUCAGGCUGUUGGUGGGGUAACGGCCCACCAAACCUUUGACCGGUACGGGCUUUGAGAGAAGGAGCCCGGAGAUGGACACUGAGAUAAGGGUCCAGGCCCUAUGGGGCGCAGCAGGCGCGAAACCUCCACAAUGGGCGAAAGCCUGAUGGGGUCAUUCCGAGUGCCAUCCGCUAAGGAUGGCUUUUCCCAAGUCUAAACCGCUUGGGGAAUAAGGGGAGGGCAAGUCUGGUGUCAGCCGCCGCGGUAAUACCAGCUCCCCGAGUGGUCGGGACGAUUAUUUGGCCUAAAGCAUCCGUAGCCGGCCCUGUCCGUCUUCCGUUAAAUCUAACGGCCCAACCGUUAGGCUGCGGAAGAUACCACAGGGCUAGGGGGCGGGAGAGGUGGACGGUACUCCAAGGGUAGGGGUAAAAUCCUCUGAUCCUUGGAAGACCACCGGUGGCGAAGGCGGUCCACCAGAACGCGCCCGACGGUGAGGGAUGAAAGCUGGGGGAGCGAACCGGAUUAGAUACCCGGGUAGUCCCAGCCGUAAACGAUGCGAGCUAGGUGACAGAAUGGCCUAAGCGCCAUUCUGCUGCCGCAGGGAAGCCGUUAAGCUCGCCGCCUGGGGAGUACGGACGCAAGUCUGAAACUUAAAGGAAUUGGCGGG